AUGUUCUGCCGGUCUGCCAUCAACAUACCGUCUUCACGCAUGCCCACUAAUCCGCUCACCACCACGUCUCAGUUGCCAAAAAAACAUCACGUCUCCAACUCCAACCAUAGCGCCCCCUCUCCACCAGCCGCCAGAGAACUCCUCCCUGUUCCCAUCGCCGCCGCCGCCGCCCACCGCUCCUCCUCUCCUCUGCUACCCCAGGCGCGAGGAACCAACCUCCCGAAGCAACCAGAGCGGCAAAGCGGCAGAGGAAUUGAGAGAUGGCGUUUGCGGCGGCGGGGAAGGAGAAGGGGCGGGCGUCCUACAUCCGGAUCAAGCACGGGGGAGGAGCGGCGCGAGGCAUCCUGGAAGGAGCCCGAGGGCCGGGUCUUCUCCGCCACCACGCGCACCGAUGUCGCCACGCGCCUUGGCGACCUCCGCGACCAGAUCCUCGUCGGUUGCACCUCCUUCGCCGACCUCGCCGCACAGCACUCCAGCUGCUCCUCCGCCCGCCACGGCAACGACCUAGUGCAUCUGGUAGAACCAAUCGAUUUGCAGAAUAUGGCAUGA
This 549-nucleotide ribosomal RNA is filed under the name Triticum aestivum (bread wheat). RNAcentral's name for it is "partial small subunit ribosomal RNA". Lineage: Eukaryota; Viridiplantae; Streptophyta; Magnoliopsida; Poales; Poaceae. The record is from RNAcentral.